UACGUAGGGGGCAAGCGUUGUUCGGAAUCAUUGGGCGUAAAGGGCGCGUAGGCGGUCGCGUGUGUCUGCUGUGAAAGCACACGGCUUAACCGUGUGAAGUCGGUAGAAACUGCGGGACUUGAGGCUGGGAGAGGUUGGUGGAAUUCCCUGUGUAGCGGUGAAAUGCGUAGAUAUAGGGGAGAACACUCGUGGCGAAGGCGGCCAGCUGGACCAGCCCUGACGCUGAGGCGCGACAGCGUGGGGAGCAAACAGG
Molecule: ribosomal RNA, 253 nt
Filed under: uncultured bacterium
Lineage: Bacteria
Description: partial 16S ribosomal RNA
Rfam family: Bacterial small subunit ribosomal RNA
Source: RNAcentral